This 72-nucleotide transfer RNA is filed under the name Bos taurus (domestic cattle). It matches the Rfam family "tRNA". Rfam says of the family: Transfer RNA (tRNA) molecules are approximately 80 nucleotides in length. Their secondary structure includes four short double-helical elements and three loops (D, anti-codon, and T loops). Further hydrogen bonds mediate the characteristic L-shaped molecular structure. tRNAs have two regions of fundamental functional importance: the anti-codon, which is responsible for specific mRNA codon recognition, and the 3' end, to which the tRNAs corresponding amino acid is attached (by aminoacyl-tRNA synthetases). tRNAs cope with the degeneracy of the genetic code in two manners: having more than one tRNA (with a specific anti-codon) for a particular amino acid; and 'wobble' base-pairing, i.e. permitting non-standard base-pairing at the 3rd anti-codon position. RNAcentral also lists the same sequence under 1 other name. The record is from Rfam by way of RNAcentral. Lineage: Eukaryota; Metazoa; Chordata; Mammalia; Artiodactyla; Bovidae.
UCCCUGGUAGCUCAGCCGGUGAAGAAUCUGCCUGCAGUGCAGGAGGCCCUGGUUCGAUUCCUGGGUCGGGAA